AGUAGAACCAGGCGAAGCUGUGUGUGGCAUGCAGCAUACGGUAUCACUACCCAGGGACACACACGAUGACAAACCGCAUUCCUGUAAAGGACGAGGACAGGGUGCCCUGUGAUGGUAUCCUUGGGACUCUGACCUGGACUAGGGCUGUGCACAAGGCUUCCUUUGGGAUGUGGUAGGUGAAGGAGGUCACUCCAGCUGCUCUGUGGAGGGGAGACAGGAACACGGGUAGACCCAGGGAAAUGUCAAGUUCCAAGUGGAGGUGGAACAGCAGGAUUAGAAAACAGCAUUUGGAAAACCAACCAAAAAACCCAGUGUUUGGGACCCGGGAUGUAGCUCAGCGGCACAGCACCUGCCUGGCAAGCACAAGGUGCUGAGUUCGAUUCCCCACACAAAAAACAGAAUGAAAAAAACCCAGCAUUUGGCAGCCACCACAGAGCCCUGGUGACUGGAUGCUACAGGACUGGGAGAGGUCCACUGGGAAACGGGGUCCGAGUCCCCGCCCGCAUCGUCCCACAGAUUACUGCUCCUUUGCAAGGAACAAACACGGCACCACUUUCCCCACUGGGCAGAGAGCAUGCCACCAGCAAGGGGACAACUGGGACAUGCCCGAUGCCCUGUCCCAGUAGGGACGCAUCCUUCGUGCUACACCACUGCCAAAACGUGCUGCCUGGCUCUGGCUCCGAGAGGCCCACCAGAGAGACCCAAAUGGAGAGGCGUCCCAGCCUGUGUGCUCCGUGAACAUCACUGUCGGGGGGCGGGGUUCUCCUCAGCCCUCCCACAGAACCAGCCCUGCCGGCACCCCGCCUUGGGGGCUUGACCUCCACAGCAGUAAGAAAGCACAUUUGUGUUGUGUAA
This is a long non-coding RNA of Chinchilla lanigera (long-tailed chinchilla), 855 nucleotides long. RefSeq lists it as uncharacterized. The transcript has 2 exons. NCBI's taxonomy places the organism in Eukaryota, Metazoa, Chordata, Mammalia, Rodentia, Chinchillidae. The record is from RefSeq and is a predicted model, not a curated record.